UUUCUUCACUUUCUCUUCUUCUUCUCCACUUUCUUCUUCUUCUUUUCCUCCCUUUUCUUGUCUUCUUCUUCUCCUCUUUUGUCUUCUAGUGAGAGAGAGGGAGAGAAGAGAGUGUGAGAGGGUGAGAAUGAGAGAAAUGUCUCAUUUGUUCCCUUACUAUACUCUAUGGGUUGCAAAAUUGCAGCUAAACCCCUCAACUUUCACUCUUUCACACAGCCUGGACUGGGCUGUUCGCGCAGGCGGGGACCGGUCUCUCCUUCAGGGACCGGUUCCCGAAGGCUCUCCCCGCGCAGCCAGAGCUGCUGCGCGCAGGGCAACCGGUCUCUCUUUGGGGGACCGGUCUCUCGGGGACCGGUCUCUCAAGCAGGGACCGGUUCCCGAGAGCUAAUUUCUCAGGACUUAGCCAAUUUUUCGGCUGUCUCAUUUCAUACGCGUUCAGGGACCG
This 445-nucleotide long non-coding RNA is filed under the name Ananas comosus (pineapple). RNAcentral's name for it is "long non-coding RNA (ACOM_LNC017814)". The record is from RNAcentral. Lineage: Eukaryota; Viridiplantae; Streptophyta; Magnoliopsida; Poales; Bromeliaceae.